CCUCCUCGAUCUGCUGGGGGCAGAUGUAGUGAAUGUGGGCGUCCAUGCCACCGGCUGUAAGGAUCUUUCCUUCUCCGGCAAUGGCCUCCGUUCCCGGACCAAUGAUGAUGUCGACGCCGCUCUGCAUGUCCGGAUUGCCUGCCUUGCCAAUGGCGGCAAUGCGGCCGUCUUUGAGGCCGAUGUCGGCUUUGUAGAUGCCGGAAUGAUCGACCACCAAGGCGUUGGUGAUGACCGUAUCGACGGCUCCUUCGGCGCGGGACAGCUGGCUCUGGCCCAUGCCAUCGCGGAUG
RNAcentral lists this small RNA (290 nucleotides) under Pseudovibrio exalbescens. RNAcentral describes it as "Nesiotobacter exalbescens 5' ureB small RNA". It matches the Rfam family "5' ureB small RNA". The record is from Rfam by way of RNAcentral. Lineage: Bacteria; Pseudomonadati; Pseudomonadota; Alphaproteobacteria; Hyphomicrobiales; Stappiaceae.